UUUUAUUUGAGAGUUUGAUCCUGGCUCAGGAUGAACGCUGGCGGCGUGCCUAACACAUGCAAGUUGAGCGAUUUACUUCGGUAAAGAGCGGCGGACGGGUGAGUAACGCGUGGGUAACCUACCCUGUACACACGGAUAACAUACCGAAAGGUAUGCUAAUACGGGAUAAUAUAUUUGAGAGGCAUCUCUUGAAUAUCAAAGGUGAGCCAGUACAGGAUGGACCCGCGUCUGAUUAGCUAGUUGGUAAGGUAACGGCUUACCAAGGCGACGAUCAGUAGCCGACCUGAGAGGGUGAUCGGCCACAUUGGAACUGAGACACGGUCCAAACUCCUACGGGAGGCAGCAGUGGGGAAUAUUGCACAAUGGGCGAAAGCCUGAUGCAGCAACGCCGCGUGAGUGAUGAAGGCCUUCGGGUCGUAAAACUCUGUCCUCAAGGAAGAUAAUGACGGUACUUGAGGAGGAAGCCCCGGCUAACUACGUGCCAGCAGCCGCGGUAAUACGUAGGGGGCUAGCGUUAUCCGGAUUUACUGGGCGUAAAGGGUGCGUAGGCGGUCUUUCAAGUCAGGAGUGAAAGGCUACGGCUCAACCGUAGUAAGCUCUUGAAACUGGGAGACUUGAGUGCAGGAGAGGAGAGUGGAAUUCCUAGUGUAGCGGUGAAAUGCGUAGAUAUUAGGAGGAACA
Molecule: ribosomal RNA, 681 nt
Filed under: Clostridioides difficile
Lineage: Bacteria; Bacillati; Bacillota; Clostridia; Peptostreptococcales; Peptostreptococcaceae
Description: bacterial SSU rRNA
Rfam family: Bacterial small subunit ribosomal RNA
Source: RNAcentral